Molecule: ribosomal RNA, 828 nt
Filed under: Triticum aestivum (bread wheat)
Lineage: Eukaryota; Viridiplantae; Streptophyta; Magnoliopsida; Poales; Poaceae
Description: partial small subunit ribosomal RNA
Source: RNAcentral
AUGAGGCCGCCACAACUACCUGCCACAUAUCCAUCUUCAGAGCUGUACUGUUGCAUCGGCCUUGCCCGGUCUCGCUGCCACCGACGCCACCACGACGCCAGACAGCGUAGACCUCCUGCGCGUGUCCGUCACCACACAUCUGAUGCCAAGCCUCCGCUGCUCCAUGCCGCCAAGAGCCGCCGCCAAGAAUAUGUAGAAAGAAACACCGCUCCACCGAAAGGGAGGCAGCACACCCCCACCCCUCACCUGCAUACCCUUUCAUCCGAUCCCAAUGUCCUUGGCUUCGCCUCCAGGAAGGUUACGGUGCACGGGGCGCCGCCGACGCCCGAUCCACAUCGGAUCUUGGGCUUUCACCCGGACAUGGGUAGGAGUGGAGAGAUGGUGCCCUCAGCAGCGCCCCCAAGGAGGAAAGCGGCGCCAAAAGGCGGCGUCGCCGCCGCUGGCCAGCCAAGGCGGCCAAGGUUUCCCUCGGACACCGAUCUGCUCCACCAGAACACACCGGAGGUGGAUCCGGCAAGAUCCAAACCGAAUCGGGGACUGGGAAGGGAUGCAUGGAAGAGAGGGGGGCAAUACCUCCAGAUCUGGCACGCCUGCGGCUCGCCGUCCUCACGGCCGAACCCUCAGGCAUGCCGCACGCCACGCCAGCAGGGGCCACCGCCCUUGGAUCCGAUGGCCUCCGCAAAGAAAGGAGCGCCGAAGACCCCACCGCCACCUUCCCCGGUGCCCGCGUGGGCUUUCCCGGCUGUCGUCUCCAGUGGCGGCGAGGGGGGUGGGGGAGGUGGGGGGAGGCGGCGGGGGAAAACCCUAGACUCCCCCGAGACGCCCUAG